Molecule: long non-coding RNA, 1357 nt
Filed under: Mus caroli (Ryukyu mouse)
Lineage: Eukaryota; Metazoa; Chordata; Mammalia; Rodentia; Muridae
Description: RIKEN cDNA 4933431M02 gene (MGP_CAROLIEiJ_G0006407.1)
Source: RNAcentral
UUACAGCACAGGGAUGCAGCUGAUAUCUCUGAAAGCAGAAAGGCUGAAGGCUUCUGGGCAGAACAACUGGCUACAGUGGAUGCUAAAACCGGAGCCUCAGAGAAAGAAGGCUGCUAAUGGCCCCAGGAAAUCUGUCCCAUCAUCUGGGUCCCUCGAUGAAGCAUUCAAAUUCAGCACAGAGAAAACAAAUGUACAGUGGAGAGAGAAAUGAUUCUCUGUACCACCACCAUGAAGGUUACCAUCAGCACACACUCAAGGAAGAAAACAAGCCUGAAUCCAAACAAGAUGCAGCUUAAGAUCACUGAACUGUGCAGACAAAUAUCUGAAUGUUUAAACACAUAAAGAAUUUCCCCUGUCAAUCCACAUAGCCUCAUGCUGUCAAGAACUUCGCAGGACUCCUUAUUAAGAGCUGGCAGGAUUUGCUUGUAAGCAGGCUUCCCCCAUCUCUAGCAAUACAGAAGGUAUUGGUGCAUUCCUAUUUUUCUCCAAACAUAGGAGGAGGCUUGCAACCUACUGACUUCGAACCACCACGAAAAUGACAGAUUGCUACUUUGUGAUAAUUGUCAUAAGAUUCCGUGCCUGAAACUGAGAUGUUUUCUUCUUCUAUUCCCACUUCUUCUAUUUCAAGUGACCCUAUUAAUGAUAGAUCUCUACUUGAAAUAAUUGGCUAUUCUAAAACUGAGAAAUAAGCACUUUCCUGUCCUCAUUGUUUUUCCUUCUUUAUCUCUAACAGCCCCAGAGGAUCACAAACAUUUGUCCUCAGGGCAAUAUCAGCGGUUAAUGAUUCAUGUUCAAAGUCUGUGAGUUGCCUAAUUAACAAAAGGCAAUGUUUUACAGAAGCCAUUUUUGCUUUCAAGUUAAUAGCACACAGCAGAUACAAAUGCUACAAUGCCAUGCAGGUCUUCAAGGCUGUGGUACACUACUGUUUCCAAAGGUUCCAGGUUCAUUUAUCUGACCCAAACUUCAAGCCAUUAAAAACAAAGCACUCUCGUUUGUUUCCUUUUGAAUGAUUGGCAGUCUUACAGCACCAUUCACAUAUCACAUCCUCCUGUAAUGUACUCAUAAAAUUUAUGUUUCAGUUCUUAUUAAAUGGGGCACUUGAUUAAUGAAAAUAAUAUGAGCUUCUUUUCUGUCAACUAUACACAUAACAGUAUCAGUCAUUAAAGAAGUCAGAAUCUUUAAAAUAACCCAAUCAUCUUUUAAUAUACAUGGUGACACAUAUGAAAUAUUUCCUCAAUAGCAUGUGUGUGGUAAGACUUCUGUUACUAUAGCAACGUGUCAUUCUGCAUUUUCAUACAGAAAGACUGAUGUUGGAUAAAUAUUGACAUUUUCAAAAUUACAGUAUGUGUAUGUGUCU